GGGGUCGUAGCCUAGCAAGGCAGGGCGACAGUUAUGUAACCCGUAGGUCAGGGGUUCAAGUCCCCUCGACCCCA
Molecule: transfer RNA, 74 nt
Filed under: Nitrososphaerales archaeon
Lineage: Archaea; Thermoproteati; Nitrososphaerota; Nitrososphaeria; Nitrososphaerales
Description: tRNA-Thr
Rfam family: tRNA
About the family: Transfer RNA (tRNA) molecules are approximately 80 nucleotides in length. Their secondary structure includes four short double-helical elements and three loops (D, anti-codon, and T loops).
Source: RNAcentral